UUGGGAAUCUUCGGCAAUGGACGAAAGUCUGACCGAGCAACGCCGCGUGAGUGAAGAAGGUUUUCGGAUCGUAAAACUCUGUUGGUAGAGAAGAACGUUGGUGAGAGUGGAAAGCUCAUCAAGUGACGGUAACUACCCAGAAAGGGACGGCUAACUACGUGCCAG
RNAcentral lists this ribosomal RNA (165 nucleotides) under uncultured bacterium. RNAcentral describes it as "partial 16S rRNA". It matches the Rfam family "Bacterial small subunit ribosomal RNA", at positions 355 to 511 of the family's 1533-position model. The record is from RNAcentral.